GAUGAAGAACGCAGCGAAAUGCGAUAAGUAGUGUGAAUUGCGGAAUUCAGUGAAUCAUCGAAUCUUUGAACGCACAUUGCGCCCUUUGGUAUUCCUUAGGGCAUGCCUGUUCGAGCGUCAUUUAAACCUUCAAGCUCAGCUUGGUGUUGGGUGACUGUCCGCUUCACCGCGGACUCGCCUCAAAAUUAUUGGCGGCCGGUACAUUGGCUUCGAGCGCAGCAGAAACGCGAACUCGGGCCCGUCGUAUUGGCUCCCAGAAGCUAUCUUCACAAUUUUGACCUCGGAUCAGGUAGGGAUACCCGCUGAACUUAAGCAUAUCAAUAAGCGGAGGA
Molecule: unclassified non-coding RNA, 332 nt
Filed under: soil metagenome
Description: partial contains 5.8S ribosomal RNA, internal transcribed spacer 2, and large subunit ribosomal RNA
Rfam family: 5.8S ribosomal RNA (bases 1-120)
Source: RNAcentral